AGGAUUCCCCUAGUAACGGCGAGUGAAGAGGGAAAAGCUCAAAUUUAAAAGCUGUUGUCUUUCAGGCAACCGCAUUGUAAUCUCAAGAAGUGUUUUCGAUUGUAGCCUGCGUAUAAGUACCUUGGAAUAGGUUGGCAUAGAGGGUGAAACUCCCGUCUUUGAUGCAGAUUACUAUGAUCAUGUGAUACACUUUCUAAGAGUCGAGUUGUUUGGGAAUGCAGCUCAAAAUGGGUGGUAAAUUCCAUCUAAAGCUAAAUAUUGGCCUGAGACCGAUAGCGAACAAGUACCGUGAGGGAAAGAUGAAAAGCACUUUGGAAAGAGAGUCAAACAGAACGUGAAAUUGCUGAAAGGGAAGCGUUUGAAGUUAGUCUGAUAGGAGUUGUUCAAUUGUUACUUUGGUUUCAAUGUAUGCAACUUUUUAUCGGUCAACAUCAAUUUUGAUUGAUGGAUAAAGGUAAUAGGAAUGUGGCUACAAUUUGUAGUGUUAUAGCCUAUUAUCAUAAACAUUGAUUGAGAUUGAGGACGGCAGUGUACCUUUUAGGAAGGUGUUCGCACCUAUUACACUAAGGA
RNAcentral lists this ribosomal RNA (570 nucleotides) under Wallemia sebi. RNAcentral describes it as "eukaryotic LSU rRNA". It matches the Rfam family "Eukaryotic large subunit ribosomal RNA", at positions 71 to 623 of the family's 3401-position model. Lineage: Eukaryota; Fungi; Basidiomycota; Wallemiomycetes; Wallemiales; Wallemiaceae. The record is from RNAcentral.